GAUGAUAUGGAUUAUAUGGAAAACCACAGGAUGGCUUCUUGUUGUUGCGCACCUGAUAAUCUAGAUUUGAUUGUAGCCCGCAGGGUGGCCUCCUGUUGUGAGCACUUGAUGAUCUAGAUUGGAUGGAGACCACCGAGUUGCCUCCUGUUGAUAUGGAAAAGGAAAGAGAGAAUGGAAAAACAAUGAGAGGACUGGUCAGUGAGGAUUAGACCAGUUGGCCGUAUGGGGGAUCGGCUCCCUGGUGCACAUGUACGAGAGGGCGAGCCAUGUGUGAGGACGGCUCGUUGGGGUUUCAGGUGGUGCCACUGACUAAUUUCCACUUACUUGAUUACUUGAAGGUGACAUUACUUGUGGGUGCUAGUGUUGUGCCAUAUGAAUGACUGCAGCAUGCUCAUUUUAGAAUAUUAGGAUGCAUUUUGCGUGAAUGUGUGUGGUGUGUAUUAUUUAUUAUUAUUCACUGAGUUGCAAAACUCACCCCCCCUUCUCUCCAAACCUCUCAGGUAGUAGGAAGUCGCUGAUCCAACUGAAGCUCUGUCAUUUUCCUCGCGGAGCUACAAAAGUAAACUUAUAACUUUUGUUAUUAUAAUUUGAGAUUUGUAUUAUUAAUUACAUACACUACUUUAGUUUCAAUUAUUGUUGAACUCCGCAGUUGUAGGGUCGUGUAUUUUCAGUUGGGCCUGCCGUAUGUGUUACCUUAUAUGUAUGGUUUGUUAUGUUAUUAGGUGCAGGUGGACCAGUAUGCCAUAUUAUGAAUGUGAUUGAUUAUGAUUAGGCCCAAACUAAACUUGUUUGAGAAAAUUAAAAUUGGACCGCAUUAUGUAAAAAUUAUAUCCUAUCUUGCA
RNAcentral lists this long non-coding RNA (842 nucleotides) under Jatropha curcas. RNAcentral describes it as "long non-coding RNA (JCUR_LNC001277)". Lineage: Eukaryota; Viridiplantae; Streptophyta; Magnoliopsida; Malpighiales; Euphorbiaceae. The record is from RNAcentral.